Molecule: long non-coding RNA, 471 nt
Filed under: Homo sapiens (human)
Lineage: Eukaryota; Metazoa; Chordata; Mammalia; Primates; Hominidae
Description: HSALNT0205151
Source: RNAcentral
CUUCAAGGCACGUGAUGGUUAAUACUGAGUGUCAAUUGACUGGAUUGAAGAAUGCAAAGUAUUGAUCAUGAGUGUGUCUGUAAGGGUGCUGACAAAGGAGAUUAACAUUUGAGUCAGUGGGCUGGGAAAGGCACUUAAUCUGGGUGGACACCAUCCAAUCAGCUGCCAGCACAGCCAAAAUACAAAGCAGGCAGAAAAAAAACGUGAAAAGGCUAGACUGGCUUAGCCUUCCAGCUUACAUCUUUCUCCUGUGCUGGAUGCUUCCUGCCCUCAAACACUGGACUCCAGGUUCUUCAGCUUUGGGACUCGGACUGGCUUCCUUGCUCUUCAGCUUGCAGACAGCCUAUUGUGGGAUUUGUGAUUGUGCUUUGGCAUCAGGAUACCACUGCUCAACCAAAUAAAAGAAGACACAAACAAACGGAAGACCAUUCCAUGCUCAUGGAUAGGAAGAAUCAAUAUCGUGAAAAUGGC